AAAAUGAAUCGUUUCUUUUUCUCACGCCCCUCUAUGUCUUUGUUAUCAUCCCAAAACGCAAACCCUGUGUUUUUUGUAGCGAGCAACAACGUGAAUCGGGAGAACACAAAAGACGAAAACCGUUUUGCACUGCCGCUCAAUUACCUCAGGUAUUUGGUUCAUAGAUCCACCAAUAAUUUCACAAUUUUUCAAUGAUUUCAUUCAAUAUGUUCAACUAAAUCAUUUUCAAUUUUUGUGUAUCCGAUUUGAAUUACAACAUCAUUCGUGUCCGUACGUCGGCGAAGCAAUUAGAAACCCUAGCUGGUGUCACGUAUCACCAGCAUCAAAGUUUAGAAGGCAUAUGUUGUGUGCUGGAAGAAAGCUAAGCUUCACAUUCUUAAAGUUAUAUCUGGAAUUAUCAGACCAGCAAGGAUGACACUUUUGUUGGGGCCACCAUCUUCUGGUAAGACAACACUUCUGUUGGCUUUGGCGGGAAGAUUCGAUCCGAGCUUAAGAGUUGAAGGGGAGAUAAGUUACAACGGUCAUAAACUCAAUGAGUUUGAGCCUCGAAGGACAGCGACUUACAUCAGUCAGAACGAUAUUCAUGCUAGAGAAAUGACUGUUAAGGAGACCCUUGAUUUCUCGGCAAAAUGCCAAGGCGUUGGAUCUCGUUUAGAAAUGUUAACCGAGCUUGCGAGAAGAGAAAAGGAAGCAGGGAUUAUUCCAGAAGCUGAAGUUGGCCUUUUCAUGAAGGCGACCGCCAUUGAAGGAGAUGAAAGCAGUUUGAUUACUUACUACACUCUAAGAUGCUAAUGGAAGUUUAGAGGAUAUUUUAGAUCAAUCUUCUUCUAAUGCUCGUUGUGUUGAAAAACUAUUGGCUGAAGAAGCUGCAAAAGGACUUUCUAUAUUUGAUGAGCUUCAUGGCACUUUAUCAGCUCAGCAAGGAGAGAUUGCGGUUUUUGCUAGAGAGCUUCGAAAGAGGUUUAAUGAUAGCAUCCACCAUACGACAAAUAUAUCUGAGUUCAUUAACGGUGUAUUUGAUAAGCUAAUGGAAGGAGUGUAUAGCUGAAGGUUUAGAAGAUGCAACACAUCAUCAAGCCAGAUUUAAGCUGGUUUUCAAUUCGCCUGUCAUGAGUCCAUUUGGCCCACAAAAUCAAGCCCAACAAAGGAGAAGUGAAAGAAUUCAGGUCCAGCCAAAGAAAUUUGAUGAUUAUGUGAUGACUGCCAUGUCAGCCACAAUCUAACAGAAUUCGGUUGCACAAGUCUAUUUAAAGUAAUUAUGUAUUGAUCAUGAGGUAGGCAAUUUGUUAGCUCUCAUGAGUCUAUCUUUCCCAUCCCCUUCUUAGAAUUCUCUUUCCCAUCCCGAACUCUCUGUUCUUAAUAAAAAUCAUUCCAAUUAUCCUUGUU
Helianthus annuus (common sunflower) is the source of this 1386-nucleotide RNA transcript. It is a transcript of the gene named ABC transporter G family member 35, with no coding region annotated. Lineage: Eukaryota; Viridiplantae; Streptophyta; Magnoliopsida; Asterales; Asteraceae. The record is from RefSeq and is a predicted model, not a curated record. The transcript has 7 exons.